This is a non-coding RNA of Gorilla gorilla gorilla (western lowland gorilla), 279 nucleotides long. The record is from Rfam. Lineage: Eukaryota; Metazoa; Chordata; Mammalia; Primates; Hominidae.
ACCGGGUAUGGUGGCUCACACCUGUAAUUCCAGCACUUUGAGAGGCCCAGGCAGGAAGUCACUGGAGUCCAGGAGGUCAAGGCUGCAGUGAGAUGUGAUUGUGCCACUGCACCCCAGCCUGGGUGACAAAGGAAGACCCUGUCUCAAAAAAAAAAAAAANNNNNNNNNNUUUUUUUUUUGAGACAGGGUCUUCCUUUGUCACCCAGGCUGGGGUGCAGUGGCACAAUCACAUCUCACUGCAGCCUUGACCUCCUGGACUCCAGUGACUUCCUGCCUGGG